CUGAGUUCCAGCCUCAGAACCCAGUAACUGGAGUAGACUUCACUGGAAAAGGUCACAGAUCUGCAAGAGGCUCAAAGGAAUAGAUCAGAGGAGAUUCUGUACAUGGAGCAUCUUAACUCUGCUCAGCAAGCAAGAGAACAACACCUUUUUGAAUGGUUGCACAGGGCUCUCCAACAGGCUGUCAAGAGGCUCCCAGAACAUACAGCCUACUGCUGUUGCCCUUGUUUAUCCCCAGAGGUGGAAGAUGCUGCUUCUCUUUGCUACAUCCUCACUCUUGACAAAUCUGAGUCUGCACCAUGGGGAUUCAAAGUCCAGGGCCAACUGAACCAAGAGACUUUCCUUUCCUACAACAGUGUCAACAACUGUCAUGUGUUUGGUGUUCUGGGGAACAGAAUGAAUGCCACAAAGAUCUGUGACAAACAAGUUGACACUCUGAUAGAUGGAGCUGAGCUGAUCAAGCAGCAAGUGAUUCGAAUGAAUAAUAUAAUCAGAGAGCCCCUCACUCUGCAGGCCAAGAUGCAUUGUUGGCAUGAUGCAGAUGGACAUUUCAAUGCAUCCUGGGACAUUGACCUCAAUGGACAGAACAUUCUGCAUCUGGACUCAAGCACUGGGAAACUGACUGAAGUUGGUCCUGGAUCCAGCUGGAUUAAAGAGCUAUGGGAGGAAGACAGGGAUGUGACUGCCUUCUUAACAGUGACCUCACAGGGGACUGUGGGCCCUGGCUUCAGGGGGUCACGUUGCACUGUGAAGAAAAGCUGCAGCCUACAGCCUCACCAAAUGGUAUUCCUGAUGUGGACCAACCGCCUUUGUCACUGGCCAUCAAGCCCAACAUCUCUGUCCUGGUGAUAAUCCUCACCUGCUCCCUCCUGCUUCUUAACUGAGGAGAAGCCUUGACAAUGACAGGUUGAAGAUGCUGCAGUGAAUGUCGUGAGAGCUCAUCUGGUGCAGCCCCUCUCCCUUUUCAUCAGCCCCAACCAGAUGAGUCUUGAUGCUGCCAACAUAGUAUUUCAUGUUCUUUCACUCUGUGCAGGCCGCUCGGGCCCUUUCUUAUCUCCUUGUACUGUUUCCUUUGUGCUCCCUGGUGGGAUUUGCUCUUCAUGGAACCACUUGAAUUAGAAAACUGGAAAAGAAUGUAGUUAUUACCCAACCCUAGCCUAGGAAACAGGACACCUAGAUCUCCUUAGUGAGAGUGUGAAGUUAUUACUCCUGUGUAAAUAACUUAUUAGUACAGAGGUCAGUGUGAGACAGACCAGGAAGACCCCACACUCCCCAAGAUAUUCGACUUCGAGUUAAAUUCUGUUAAGAAUAUUAAUUUUGUAAUAGGUGUUUUUAUAACCACAACUAUACUAUGUAGCCUUCUCUAGAACAAAAUAAGAAAGGUACAUUUUUAUAUGAGUAUAUAUGAUAGAAACGGAUAUUUCAUGACAUAAGAUGUGGUGGUUUAUAAUAUUAUCACUACUAUAGAUGAGUUUCUGUGACAUGCACUAGGCAGUCCAGCAAUGCCCACAUGCACACUGGGAUGCUCAGUCCUGCACGCUGGCUGCCCUGCAGUGACAAUCAGCAGUGAAAGCUGGGAGGGCCUGGAAAGCUGGUGCUGCUGGGUGCACAUCCUCCUGAUGCAGGUUCUGGGUCAGUGCUGCCUCCACUUCACUCAGAGAAGUCUCUCUGCACAUCCAGACCUGUGAUGGAAGGAGAAUAAACUCACACAAAUGUCCUCUGACUCCACAUGCGCACUUUUGCACAAGUGCACUAGCAUUCACUCACUCACUCACAGAGAGAGAGAGAUUAAAAAUAAAUAAAAAGUAAAAUAAAAUGAGGACCCUAAAAUAUGCAAAGUAUAACAUGUAUAAAUUCACUGCUGAAAACUGUUUGAAGCAUGGUCUUACUGUAUAGACCAGGCUGGCCUGGAACUCACAGAAUUGCACCUGCCUCUACCUACCCAGCAUCAGGCUUAAAUGUUUGUGCCACAAACUUUGCCUGAUCCUUGUAUUUUUCGCUCUAAUGGUAUGUUAUUAAAGUAUUAGGACUUUAAAAUUGACUGUUUCACACAAACUAAUUUGUAAACUACAGUGGCAUUAAGUAGACUGGCAAUAAUCUAAUCUCUCAGGUAUCACUAAUGGAAACUUGCAACAGCUAACCACAGGAAACAGAAAUAGAGAACUAGUUGUUUAGUAGAACUCACUGAAAACACAUGCCCAGACGUUAGCACGACUGACUCCAUGAUGGAAAAUACAUUCAGGCUGUAAAACUCAGCACAUAGACAGCACCACCUGCCAAAACUAAAACAAAGGACUAAUCCAUCCAAGUACAUGGUUAAGGGCAAGUUUCUGAGUGUGCUAACCUUGCUUUUUAACUUCUGUAGUUCUGCUUCUGACUAACUGUUCUUGUUAACUGAAGUUUGUCAGCAAAUACUGACAAGCUAAUAAAGAGUUGUUAUUGACUUAAA
This is a non-coding RNA of Cricetulus griseus (Chinese hamster), 2446 nucleotides long. Lineage: Eukaryota; Metazoa; Chordata; Mammalia; Rodentia; Cricetidae. The record is from RefSeq and is a predicted model, not a curated record.